GGAGGACCCUUGGCACACGGAGCGACAGGGGCCUCCCCCACAGACACCUCAUUUUGGGAAAGAAGAAUAACUGGAAAUUUUAAGAAGUUACUAUCUCUGCUAUGGGGAUGGAUAGUCAGACAGCAAUGUUCACAAAUUACUCUUGAAACUUGAUGCAAACAACCUGUUUAAAAACUGAUGUAACGAGAGGAAUUUCAUGGAUGCAAAUGAACACCUGUGAAAAUUCUUCGGCAAGAACUGUUUCAUUUAGCAACACCAGGCUGUACAGGAGGCAUGGCUGGGGAGGCCUCAGAAAACUUACAAUCAUGGCAGAAGGUGAAGGGGAAGCCAGCACAUCUUCAUAUGAUGGCAGGAACUUUAUAUGUUAUAGAAGUUAGCCCCAAGAAUGAAAUCGUGUCCUUUGCCAAAACAUGGAUGGAGCUAGAGGCCUUUAUCCUAAGUGAGUUAACGCAGGAACAGAAAGCCAAAUAGUGCAUGUUCUCACUGAUAAGUGGGAGCUAAACUAUGGGUUCACAAAGGCAUGCAGAGUGGUACUGUGGACAUUGGAGACUCAGAAUGGGGGAGGCUAGGAGGGAGGUAAGGGAUGAAAAAGUACCUGUUGGGUACAAUGUACACUACUUGGGUGACGAUGGGUCCACUAAAAUCCCAGAUUUAACCACUGUACAAUUCAUCCAUGUAACCAAAACCCACCUGUACCCCAAUGCUAUGAAAAUAAAUAAAACCAAAUUA
RNAcentral lists this long non-coding RNA (729 nucleotides) under Homo sapiens (human). RNAcentral's name for it is "HSALNT0338083". Lineage: Eukaryota; Metazoa; Chordata; Mammalia; Primates; Hominidae. The record is from RNAcentral.